RNAcentral lists this ribosomal RNA (253 nucleotides) under uncultured bacterium. Its description in RNAcentral is "partial 16S ribosomal RNA". It matches the Rfam family "Bacterial small subunit ribosomal RNA", at positions 524 to 776 of the family's 1533-position model. The record is from RNAcentral.
UACGUAGGGGGCAAGCGUUGUCCGGAUUUAUUGGGCGUAAAGAGCGUGUAGGCGGCUUUGCAAGUCCGUUGUGAAAACUCGAGGCUCAACCUCGAGACGCCGGUGGAAACUGCAAAGCUAGAGUCCGGAAGAGGAGAGUGGAAUUCCUGGUGUAGCGGUGAAAUGCGCAGAUAUCAGGAGGAACACCGGUGGCGAAGGCGGAUCUCUGGGCCUUACCUGACGCUGAGGCGCGAAAGCUAGGGGAGCGAACAGG